This 467-nucleotide ribosomal RNA is filed under the name uncultured bacterium. RNAcentral describes it as "partial 16S ribosomal RNA". It matches the Rfam family "Bacterial small subunit ribosomal RNA", at positions 28 to 507 of the family's 1533-position model. The record is from RNAcentral.
GACGAACGCUGGCGGCGUGCUUAACACAUGCAAGUCGAACGGAAAGGCCUCUUUCGGGGGGUACUCGAGUGGCGAACGGGUGAGUAACACGUGAGGAACCUGCCCUUGACUUUGGGAUAACUUCAGGAAACUGGGGCUAAUACCGGAUAGGAGCUCCUGCUGCAUGGUGGGGGUUGGAAAGUUUCGGCGGUUGGGGAUGGACGCGCUGCUUAUCAGCUUGUUGGUGGGGUAGUGGAUUACCAAGGCUUUGACGGGUAGCCGGCCUGAGAGGGUGACCGGCCACAUUGGGACUGAGAUACGGCCCAGACUCCUACGGGAGGCAGCAGUGGGGAAUAUUGCACAAUGGGUGGAAGCCAGAUGCAGCAACGCCGUGCGCGGGAUGAAGGACUUCGGGUUGUAAAACGCUUUCGCUCAUGACGAAGCUUUGUGUGACGGUAGUGGGUAAAGAAGCACCGGCUAACUCCGUG